This 353-nucleotide ribosomal RNA is filed under the name uncultured bacterium. RNAcentral describes it as "partial 16S ribosomal RNA". It matches the Rfam family "Bacterial small subunit ribosomal RNA", at positions 338 to 708 of the family's 1533-position model. The record is from RNAcentral.
CCUACGGGUGGCAGCAGUAGGGAAUAUUGCUCAAUGGGGGAAACCCUGAAGCAGCAACGCCGCGUGGAGGAUGAAGGUUUUCGGAUUGUAAACUCCUUUUGUUAGAGAAGAUAAUGACGGUAUCUAACGAAUAAGCACCGGCUAACUCCGUGCCAGCAGCCGCGGUAAUAAGGAGGGUGCCAGCGUUACUCGGAAUCACUGGGCGUAAAGGGGGCGUAGGCGGGUUAGCAAGUCAGAUGUUAAAUCCUAGGGCUUAACCAUAGAACUGCAUUUGAAACGGGUAUUGUAGAGUAUGGGAGAGGUAGGUGGAAGGCUUGGUGUAGGGGUAAAAUGCAUAGAGAUCAAGAAGAAGA